RNAcentral lists this long non-coding RNA (1145 nucleotides) under Rattus norvegicus (Norway rat). Its description in RNAcentral is "long non-coding RNA NONRATT008320". The record is from RNAcentral. Lineage: Eukaryota; Metazoa; Chordata; Mammalia; Rodentia; Muridae.
GAGGCUCUUUGCCUUGGUUUUCCCUCCGGCCUCCUCCGCUGACUUCAGGAGGAAGAAGCUGGGUCAACAGAAGCGCCUAGGGCAUCUUCAGAGCUGUGGCUUUUCUUUAGACUGCAGAAGUGAUUUCCAGAGGGAGGGGAUUAUUUCUAUAAUCGAGAGGUCCAGUGUUUGGCUAAAAGUCAUAGAAAAGUAGAGAAAACCUGCAGGACCGGCAAAGGAGCAGAGACCCCGGGAGUCAGUGUCUGAUCCAGGAUCAGAAGCCCUGUGAGAGGAUAUUGUUUCCCUAGACAAAAGAAAACCAGGAGCUGGAUUGUGUGGGGGGAAACAUGGGGCUUUGCAGGAGCCUGACAAGGGUCCAAAAGAGCAGGCCCCAGAAAGGCUACUUUUCCUUUGUUCCUUUGGUUCACUGUGUUUCUCUUCUAAGCUCUGGUUGAGCUUCAUUCAGUCCACAGCCUGGGAUAAGGUACCAGGCUAGCCCAGCAGUCUCAGAGGGCAACAGGGAAGGAAGAGUAGGUGAGCUAUGGGAAGAAUCAAUCACACAGAAGUGCAUUUCUGGGAAGCAGAUGGUCAGAUUGUAUCUUGCUAAGGCAUGUUACAAUGGUUUUCCCUUAACAAACGGAAGUGAGUCCCCAUCCCACUGGAAAUGUUCAUUCACUUCUCUGUCUCUUUCUCCCUUUUUAGAGCCAGGGUAGGGGACCCUGCCCCUAUCCCCAUGGGAGCACAGUGUGCUGUGACCUGUCCUGGCCAACACCAGAAAGACAGUUUAUAAGUGGUGCCUUGGGUGUCAUCAGGGUGACCUUUGGGUUUGUCUUUGGGGACCCACUGUGAAAGCUAGCCUGUUACUGGCAUGGCACAGAGACGGUAAUAAAGACACCGACCGGAAUGAUACUGUCAUUUACUGUUGCCAGAAAAAAAAAGUCCCCACCAUUUUUGUUUUUGUAUUUGUUUUUGUUUUGAAGCAGCUGAUAGAACAGACAGGAAGGAAACUUUAAUAACCCUUUCCUCAAGGAAUGAGGCUGGGCCUCCCCUGGGUUGCAGGUCUGAGCCACACACUCCUAAUCCCAGGUAGUCUCUGGGCCCCUGGCUUUCACUUUCCUUGACUGUUCCAGCAAAGGAAGUUUGUUAACGGAAGUACCUGAAAUCAU